Long non-coding RNA from Neodiprion fabricii, 509 nucleotides. RefSeq lists it as uncharacterized. NCBI's taxonomy places the organism in Eukaryota, Metazoa, Arthropoda, Insecta, Hymenoptera, Diprionidae. The transcript has 3 exons. The record is from RefSeq and is a predicted model, not a curated record.
GCCGUACACUAAUAGUCUUUUGCGGUCUUUGAAACACAAAACAAGUUUUGUAAUUAUUAUUAGCAAUAUUUCUGUUGCCCAACGCCGAACAGCCAAUGUACGGAAUCAUUGAAGUGCUAGAUGUUCUUUUAAUUUGUCACUUCAAGUCACUUCGUUUACUCUAACGGAGGACCAAGCAGUUGGCCGAGCACUUGUUCCAUUUAUCAUCAGCAUUCUGAAGUUCCUCUUCGGAGUCAGCUAUUUUUUUGGCAUAUUGCUCCAGCCUGUCCUCGAGUGUUUCCACAGCUUGAGUUCUCUCAGCAAGACACAUGUUGUUUUGAUUCGACAUCAGUAGAUCUGAGCCAUUCAACUUUUGCUUCGUUCAAAUACUCUUUCAGGGACUGGAAUAAUGAGAAUGUUGUUAAAAUUACACUGCAAAUACGUUGGAAAAUAUAUCGUAUGGUAAAGAACAAAUUGAUGUACCUUAAUUUGGUCCUCACGAGCCGAUAGCUGUUUCUUCAGUUCUUCGA